RNAcentral lists this ribosomal RNA (305 nucleotides) under uncultured bacterium. RNAcentral describes it as "bacterial SSU rRNA". It matches the Rfam family "Bacterial small subunit ribosomal RNA", at positions 333 to 655 of the family's 1533-position model. The record is from RNAcentral.
UUAACCCUACGGGGCGCAGCAGUGGGGGAUAUUGCACAAUGGGGGAAACCCUGAUGCAGCGACGCCGCGUGAGUGAAGAAGUAAUUCGUUACGUAAAGCUCUAUCAGCAGGGAAGAAAAUGACGGUACCUGACUAAGAAGCCCUGGCUAACUACGUGCCAGCAGCCGCGGUAAUACGUAGGGGGCAAGCGUUAUCCGGAUUUACUGGGUGUAAAGGGAGCGUAGACGGUCCUGCAAGCCAGAUGUGAAAGCCCGGGGCUCAACCCCGGGACUGCAUUUGGAACUGUAAGGCUAGAGUGUCGGAGG